This 25-nucleotide non-coding RNA is filed under the name Rattus norvegicus (Norway rat). The record is from RNAcentral. Lineage: Eukaryota; Metazoa; Chordata; Mammalia; Rodentia; Muridae.
UAAUGUGCACGGGAAAGAGCAGGAG